RNAcentral lists this ribosomal RNA (349 nucleotides) under uncultured bacterium. RNAcentral describes it as "bacterial SSU rRNA". It matches the Rfam family "Bacterial small subunit ribosomal RNA", at positions 28 to 355 of the family's 1533-position model. The record is from RNAcentral.
GACGAACGCUGGCGGCGUGCUUAACACAUGCAAGUCGAACGGAGUGCCCAUGACAGAGGUUUCGGCCAAUUGAUUGGGUUACUUAGUGGCGGACUGGUGAGUAACGCGUGAGGAACCUGCCUUUCAGAGGGGGACAACAGUUGGAAACGACUGCUAAUACCGCAUGAUACAUUGUUGGGGCAUCCCGAUGAUGUCAAAGAUUUAUCGCUGAAAGAUGGCCUCGCGUCUGAUUAGAUAGUUGGCGGGGUAAACGGCCCACCAAGUCGACGAUCGGUAGGGGUUCUGAGAGGAAGGUCCCCCCACAUUGGGAACUGAGACACGGUCCAAACUCCUACGGGGAGGCAGCAGU